Molecule: ribosomal RNA, 468 nt
Filed under: uncultured bacterium
Lineage: Bacteria
Description: partial 16S ribosomal RNA
Rfam family: Bacterial small subunit ribosomal RNA
Source: RNAcentral
GACGAACGCUGGCGGCGUGCUUAACACAUGCAAGUCGAACGGAAAGGCCCUGCUUUUGUGGGGUGCUCGAGUGGCGAACGGGUGAGUAACACGUGAGUAACCUGCCCUUGACUUUGGGAUAACUUCAGGAAACUGGGGCUAAUACCGGAUAGGAGCUCCUGCUGCAUGGUGGGGGUUGGAAAAUUUCGGCGGUUGGGGAUGGACUCGCGGCUUAUCAGCUUGUUGGUGGGGUAGUGGCUUACCAAGGCUUUGACGGGUAGCCGGCCUGAGAGGGUGACCGGCCACAUUGGGACUGAGAUACGGCCCAGACUCCUACGGGAGGCAGCAGUGGGGAAUAUUGCACAAUGGGCGGAAGCCUGAUGCAGCAACGCCGCGUGCGGGAUGACGGCCUUCGGGUUGUAAACCGCUUUCGCCUGUGACGAAGCGUGAGUGACGGUAAUGGGUAAAGAAGCACCGGCUAACUACGCG